Long non-coding RNA from Hypanus sabinus (Atlantic stingray), 2941 nucleotides. RefSeq lists it as uncharacterized. NCBI's taxonomy places the organism in Eukaryota, Metazoa, Chordata, Chondrichthyes, Myliobatiformes, Dasyatidae. The record is from RefSeq and is a predicted model, not a curated record. The transcript has 3 exons.
GGAGAAGAUGUGGGGUGUAGUGGGAGGUGCAGAUGAUGUAAGGUGUAGUGGGAGGUGUAGAUGAUGUAAGGUGUAGUGGGAGGUGGAGAAGAUGUGGGGUGUAGUGGGAGGUGCAGAUGAUGUAAGGUGUAGUGGGAGGUGUAGAUGAUGUAAGGUGUAGUGGGAGGUGGAGAAGAUGUGGGGUGUAGUGGGAGGUGCAGAUGAUGUAAGGUGUAGUGGGAGGUGUAGAUGAUGUAAGGUGUAGUGGGAGGUGGAGAAGAUGUGGGGUGUAGUGGGAGGUGCAGAUGAUGUAGGGUGUAGUGGGAGGUGGAAAAGAUGCAGGGUGUAGUGGGAAAUGGAUCAUCUCUAUACCAUAUGGCAUAGUGAUGAUCCAAUAGUUGAAACCACUCCGCUCCUCACUCCAUUUUCUCUAUUUUUUCUGCAGAUGUUAUAACCUGAUUUAAGGCAACACCCACAAAAUGCUAGAGAAACUCAACAGGUCAGGUAGCAUCUAUGCAAAUGAAGAUGGUCAACGUUUAGGGAUGAGACCCUUCUUCAGGACUGAGAAGGAAGGGGGAAGAUGUCAGAAUAAAAAGAGAUGUGCAUUUAAAGAUUGCCCAGUUCUGGCACUGUGGAAAGAAGUGUUCCAUUCAGAGGGGAAAAUAGAGAGAAAAAUAACAAAUCUGUGUGUGGUCAUAACUGUAUGAUCCAUUACAGUAAUCACUGAUAUUCAAAGGCAAACAAACUUCCAAGUACAAAGAGCUGCCAUAAAAUAUUCAGAAUUCUCCUAAUGACUCAGUAGAUGCUGCCUCAUCAGUUGAAUAUUUCCUGCAUUACAGUUUGUAUUGAAGCUUUUUUCCUAUAUUCAAGACCUGUGGUAUUUAACUAAUUCUAUCAAAUUUCUGUAGAUGUACUAUUGAAUAUAACCUGAUUGCUUGCAUCAUAGUCUGGUACAGCAAUUUGAACGUACAAGGAUGCAGGAGCUGUAGAGAAUAGUAAAAAUGAGAUUCUGCCAAAACCCUUCUUCUGGACGUUAUGAGCACAUCUGACCCAUCAUUAUUUACUACAGAAGGUCAUCAUUAGGGGAUCAGAGGUGGAGAGGGUCAAUAACUUUAAAUUCUUUUGUGUUACCCUAUCAGCAAAUCUGUCCUGUGUGUGUGGCCUCCGUCGGUUGUGGUCGACCAUGGGUUCUGCGCCUCUGGUAGUCACUGGUUUGUCGAGCAGCGUCGACUGUGGCUAUUGAGGCCAAUCCUGGAAUGGCAGGCUCUGCCACAGUUGCUGCAUGUGUAGGGCGCCAUGGAAUUGUUGUCCGCUAUCCGCUGUGCUCUCCGCUCCUCAAAUCACUCUUUCGCCUUGCUCUAGGUGUUGCUGAAGAAUACCUCGCCAUUUGUUGCCGUCAUCUGCUGUAUCCUCCCGGCACUCUGUGCUGAUUUUUUAAGGCUUUCAUGUCGCGCUUGCAGAUGUCCUAAAAGCGAAGCUGGGGUCUACCAAUGUUUCUCUUGCCUGUUGCUGGUUCUCCGUAGAGGAUGUCCUCUGGCAGUCUACCAUCCUUCAUAUGACGGACCUGGCCCAGCCAGCGCAGUCUGCAUUGUCUUAAAAGCGUGAACAUUGUGGGAAGUCCAGCAUAGGAGGGGACCUCAAAGUUUGGGACUUUUUCUCUCUCCAGGCGAAGCGGAGGAUGUGGCAAAGGCUGUGCAGGCGAAAACUAUUGAGUUUCCUCUCCUGCUUGGAGUAGCUGGUCCAAGUCUCGCUACCGUACAGGAGGGUGCUGAUAACGCAUGCAUUGUUCACAGCAGUCUUGGUCUUUGUAGCGAGUUUUGGAUUCUCCCAGACCCACGAGGAGAGUCGAGCAAAGAUCGAUGCUGCUUUGCCAAUACACCUAUUGAUUGCAGCAUCGAGGGACAGAGUGUCGCUAAUGGUUGACCCCAAGUAUGUGAGCUCGUGGACUAUCUGAAAUCUGUCCUGUGACAAUCACAGAAGUGCCAUCACAAAGGCAUGACAGUUCUCCCACUUCCUUAAAAGUCAUCUAAAACUUUGACAAACUUCUAUAGAUGUAUAGUAGAGAGUAUUCUGACUGGUUGCAUCACAGAGUGCUGUGGAAACAUCAGUGCCCAAGAUCAGAAACAUUUUCAAAAGCAACAUGCAGAAAAUGGUAGAGGAAUUCAGCAGAUCAGGCAGCAUCGAUGGAAAUGAACAAAUGUUUUGGGCCAAAAGCCUUCUUCAGGACUGGAAAGGAAGGGGAAGAUGCCAGAAUAAAAAUGAGGGAGGGGGAGGGGAAGAAGGCUAGCUAGAAGGUAACAGGUGAAGCCAGGUGGGUAGGGUGGUCAAGGGUUGGAGAUAAAGGAAUCUGAUAGAAGAGGAGAGUGGACCAUAGAAGACAGGGAAGGAGGAAGGGCACCAGGGGGAGGUAUAGGCAGGUGAAAAGGCCAGAAUGGGGAAUAGAAGAAGAGGGGAGGGGGAGAGAAAUUAUUAUCACUGGAAGGAGAAAUUGAAAUGUAUGCCAUCAGGUUGGAGGCUACCCAGAUGGAAUAUAAAAUAUUGUUCCUCAUUGUGGCAAAAGAGGAGACCAUGGAUUGAUGUGUUAUAAUGGGUAUGAGAAUAGGAAUUAAAAUGUUGGGCUACUGGCAAGUUGUGGUGGAUACAGCCCAGUCCAUCACAGGAAAAGUCCUUCCCAUAAUUGAGCACAUUUACAAGGAGCACUGUCACAGGAAAGCAGCAUCCACGAUCAAAGACCCUCCCCAUUCAAGCUAUGCUCUCAUCUCACUGCUGCCAUUGUGGAGGAGCUACAGGAGCCUUAGCCACACCAGUUGGUUCAAGACCAAUAUUGCCCUUCAGCUAUCAGACUCUUGAACCAGCAUGGAUCGCUUCACUCAGCUCAACUCUGAACUGACUCCACAAAAUAAAGCAAAGAAGAGAAAAUCUGCAGAUGCUGGAAAUCAAAGUAAUACACUCAAAGUGGUGG